RNAcentral lists this long non-coding RNA (699 nucleotides) under Rattus norvegicus (Norway rat). Its description in RNAcentral is "long non-coding RNA NONRATT032870". The record is from RNAcentral. Lineage: Eukaryota; Metazoa; Chordata; Mammalia; Rodentia; Muridae.
GAAAUUAUAAUAAAAGCAAAAUGGAUUUGAAUCACUUUGCAAGUCUUUCAGCAUCCUGCUAGUCUCCCAUCAGUGAAGACAUUUUAUCCAAUUACAUUCUCUCCUGAUAGGGAAGACCUGUGUGAGUACAAGAUGCCCUCAAAACCAUCCCCUAUUUACACCUCUAUUGUGGCAGGGAAUUUGCAUAUCGUUCCCCAGGGAGGUCCUUGCCUUGCCAUCCUAAGAUAAAAGCUCAGCUGUACUCUUGCUUUCAGCGAUUCCUCUCCUAAGUUCAUUUCCUCACAAUGAUGAGUCCUGUCCAGUCCCUGUUUCUGUUAUUGCUUUGGAUUCUGGGAACCAAUGGUGAUGUUGUGCUGACCCAGACUCCACCUACUUUAUUGGCUACCAUUGGACAAUCAGUCUCCAUCUCUUGCAGGUCAAGUCAGAGUCUCUUACAUAGUAAUGGAAACACCUAUUUAAAUUGGUUGCUACAGAGGACAGGCCAAUCUCCACAGCCGCUAAUUUAUUUGGUAUCCAAACUGGAAUCUGGGGUCCCCAACAGGUUCAGUGGCAGUGGGUCAGGAACAGAUUUCACACUCAAAAUCAGUGGAGUGGAAGCUGAGGAUUUGGGGGUUUAUUACUGCAUGCAAUUUACCCAUUAUCCUCCCACAGUGAUACAGACCCUAACAAAAAAUGUCCUUGCUUGAGGUAGCCCAGCUG